UACGUAGGGCGCAAGCGUUGUCCGGAAUUAUUGGGCGUAAAGAGCUCGUAGGUGGCUUGUCACGUCGGGUGUGAAAGCUUGGGGCUUAACUCCAGGUCUGCAUUCGAUACGGGCUGGCUAGAGGUAGGUAGGGGAGAACGGAAUUCCUGGUGUAGCGGUGAAAUGCGCAGAUAUCAGGAGGAACACCGGUGGCGAAGGCGGUUCUCUGGGCCUUACCUGACGCUGAGGCGCGAAAGCGUGGGGAGCAAACAGG
RNAcentral lists this ribosomal RNA (253 nucleotides) under uncultured bacterium. Its description in RNAcentral is "partial 16S ribosomal RNA". It matches the Rfam family "Bacterial small subunit ribosomal RNA", at positions 524 to 776 of the family's 1533-position model. The record is from RNAcentral.